Cygnus olor (mute swan) is the source of this 5596-nucleotide long non-coding RNA. RefSeq lists it as uncharacterized. Lineage: Eukaryota; Metazoa; Chordata; Aves; Anseriformes; Anatidae. The record is from RefSeq and is a predicted model, not a curated record. The transcript is spliced from 2 exons.
CCGAUAAAUGCACGCUGCCGGCAGAGGUGUGGCGCUAAAGAAGACAACUGGUAGGUACCAGCACCCACCGGGUGCCGAACACCGCCGCUAACACUGGCUGUGUGCGUUCUGCCCUUCAUUCGUGUGCUGUUCUCUGCGUGACAGCGAUGUGAGGCAACGGGAGCACGCAGAGGAAUCGGUGUUUGUCGGGAGUGCUGGGCUGCAAAGUUGCUGCCCGUUUCCUGGUUAGUCUCUGCUCGGAGCCUGCCAGCAGGUGGCAUUGCUGCCCAGCUGGACUGCCACAUACCACUUUUUUUUUUUUCCCUUUGGGCAUUGGCUUUGCACUUCCGUGUUCCCAAACCCUCUAAUUAGCCUGCAAAGAGCUAAUUAUGUGUUGCUUAUGGGGCACGGUGGUUACUGCUGUCCGAUGAAUUUAAUGCACUUUGUUCAUUUCCCCCUCUCGGCUGUGCUUUGAACGGACCACGGUCUGUCCUGCUCCCAAGUACUGCCUGCAACAGGAGCAAGCUGCUGGGAGCCAGGAGGGACCCGGGAGGACCAGGUGUUCUUGCAGCAGCCUCACCUGGGACGGCUGAGUUCUUCAGCAACUGCACUCUGCUCUUCUCCAUCUGUUAAAUAACGUCGCUUCCAGUGCCAGAAUAAAAAAACAAAGGAAAGAGGAGGAACUUGUCUUCGAGUCAGUGAGUGAGCCCCUGGCUGGGCCGAGAAGUGAGUGUACCCUUCUGGGCACCUGGCCGGGUGACCUGGCCCCCGGCCUCGCCAUCACGCGAGCCGCUCCCAAGGCUCCCACGCUGGUUGUGCAAAUAUCCUGCUCUUCUGUAAGAGCGUGUGCUUAUGACAGAGGGUAAUGAGGCUACUCUUCUGAUCAGUUUUCACUUCUUAACAAUUGUAUCCACAAACAGAGCUAAGUUAGAACUUCACUAAAAGCCAGGUAUUUAUACCUAAUGGAAGCUGAAGCGUGUGAGGUCUGUAAGCAUUUUGGUAUUUUUUUUUUUUUUAAAGAACUGAAUGAUGAUGGAAAACAGUGAGAUUGUAUUUAAAUAAGCCUAAUAUAACAGCUGCUGAUAGAGUAAGAUCCUGCCUCUUGUUUUAUUUUAAAUCAGCCCUAGGGAUAUACCAGAGAGUUCAACGCACUAUGGAUUUGCGCUGGUUAAUGGUACCAAGGGAUACCCAAGACAACAAGGACAGAAGGAAAGCCAAAGAUGUAGCAGAAAGAUUCACUGUGUGUUUACACCUUUUGACCCUUACUGUGCAGGGCUGGUAUUGGACACCUCUCCCAGCACCAUGCUGUAACCCAGACAUUUCAGUGCUGGUUCUCUCACAGCAAGUACUGGCAGCGGCGUGUACAGCCGUGGAGAGACCAGCAUUGCACAGCGCUGAGGAAACAGCAUCAGCAGAGGUACCAGUCCCUUUCAGGACCUGAGGAUUGCCUACCAAAGUCACCACCAUGUUCCUUAGCCAUUUCAGUUGCUUAGGAUGUGUUCCUGAUCUGCCUCGCCCUAGCCCUCAUCACCCCCCAUCCCGAGGGUUACACACGACAGUGCUAGCAGAGACGCUGUAUGUUGCAGGCACCCUUUCUGCCUUCUGAGGAGGCACUUCAGUGGCAUUAUCACAGAGCCACAAACGCAGUUCUCACAACAAAUACACUUUUCCCUUUAUCCUAGUCAGGCGCUUAGACAGAUGAGUCCAUCAAAACUCAAGUCUCUGCACCAUUAUUAUUAUACUGGGGAAAGCAUCCUCAAAAGGUCUUUCAUUGCAGAGGUGAACUGAAUGAGUCAUCCCAUUAUUUUACCUCUGUGUGUAUUUUAAAGAGCGAUGUUGUCAUAUUACAUCCGUCUACCAGUACAUCCCCUUCUUUUAUAUUGGCAAUUGUGCACCCAGAAGACCUCUGCAGAGCCUCCGGUUGUGGAGGCUGUCACACUGCUGGCUUGUGGCCCCAGAGCAGACAGAAGCAUGUGGCAACAAGGACCAUCGCCUAAUUCUGGGAACAAGAACAAACAGGGGUGGUACUACAGGAAACGUGCCCCCUGAGCACAAAGCUCUGUAAUGCCGUGGUGCUAAUAACGUUCCCAGUGGAUGUAGCUGAAGUAGUUCUGUAAAAUCAGUGUAACUUUCCACCUUCUCAGCCACCUGCCUGUUUGCACUCUGCUUAACUAUGGCAGCGAGAACUGUGCUGUGAACUCUGCUCUGUGCUUAACAUUUACCUCUGACUUUCCAGGACUGACACACAAACUGUUUAAUACAGAUUUGAGCAAGUCUAAAAACCAAACAGAAAGCCAUCCCAAAGCCCGUCUGCCAGUCACCCAAAGAAAAGCCACCGUCACCGUGACGGAGAAGGGCAAGGGGCCCCUUGCUCCCCCCGCAGAGGGAUGAACUCUGUCCCUCUACUAGUGCCCGCUGACCAGCAUGCCUGUGUCAGGGACAGUCCACGUAUAAAGUUCAGAAGGCGUGCACGCCGGAGACACUUCCCAGCGGCACGGACGGGCACUUUCCCAGGGGCUGGGGUCCAGCUAAACCAGUCCGUGUACUGGAAGACGGGUGAUGCUUGCCGCAGCCGCCCGUGCGCAGCUGAAGCCAUCCUCCCUGGCUGUCGGUGCAAGCCAGGCGACGUGCUGGCUGAUCAGCUGCCUGAUCCCUGCACAAAGCACGCGGCGCGUGAAACCUCUGGAAUCGAGGAGUGGGGGCCUGUGUCCUGCAUGCCAUCACUGGGAAAAACACGCCACGCACAGCUGCUCGGUGGGGUCAAGCCCACAGAAUUGCACAAGGGUUACCUGCCUUCUAGCGCAGGGGAACACCCUUGCACUUCUGCGUGGAGUAGUUUUGAACCCGGCAACUGCACAACCAUAUCUGAAAAUCCAUCAACAGUGUUUCCUUACUCAUCAGAAAAGUAGACCUAUCUGUCUUAUUUGUGAAACAAGUUGUGAUGCUCCUGGUAGCUAACCUGUAAUAUAUUCUGUGAGUGUAAUGUCGACGUCUUAGACGUGACUAUCAACAAAAGCCACCUUGAGCCAGCACCGAAACCUAAGGAACGUGCGCCUGCACACACAGGGAGGUUCUCUAGUCCAGCUGUGCUUCGGUCACAGUUCAAACAAAUCUGUUUAAAUUGUGACCCUUCAGUUUCCUCAUACAGCCAUUAGAUUUUAAGAGUGGCUAUGCUUGGCUCUUAUUGCCACUGGUUUUGGUUUUGUUUUUUUUUUUUAAAUGCCGUCACUUGCCUACCUUAUUUUGUGGGUCCCCAGUUCAACGGUUUCCUAAGUAGAGCCUGAACUUUAAAGACCUAUUAAAUCCAGUACAAGUCACUGGACUUAAACAAUAUGCCUAUAGGUAAGUGUGUUCCUGAGCACCUGUCUGAACUGGGAGCUCCAGAGUUAGUCAUUCAAAGAAAACACGGGGUGCCUAGUGCUAAUAAUUAGCUGCUGACUUCCAAAUCUGUAUUUGGGGCAAGAUUUCCGGUUACAUUAAGAAGCUAUGAACAGCUUUGAUAGAGGAGGUUGCUUGACUCUCAAAGGACUGUGGCACUAACCAUGGAAUCACAGAAUCACAGUUUGGGUUGGAAGGGACCUUAAAGCCCACCCAGUUCCAACCCCCCUGCCAUGGGCAGGGACACCUCCCACCAGACCAGGCUGCCCAAAGCCCCAUCCAGCCUGGCCUUGAGCACCUCCAGGGAUGGGGCAUCCACAGCUUCUCUGGGCAGCCCGUGCCAGUGCCUCACUGCCCUCUGAGUGAAGAAUUUCUUCCUUACAUCUAAUCUCAACCUACCCUCUUUUAGUUCCUGCAGGCCCCCUUUAGGCACUGGCAGGCCACUGUAAGGUCUCCCUGGAGCCUUCUCUUCUCCAGGCUGAACAACCCCAAGUCCCUCAGCCUGUCUUCAGAGGAGAGGUGCUCCAGCCCCUUGAUCAUCCUCAAGAAAGAGCCUGACCAAACUCACUGUCACUCCCUUCAAAUGACUCCAGGAUUAAAUUUUAAAUUAUCAGCAAUCUCCAAGCCAGUAACCUGAAGCUAAGUUACUCCUGAACCCAACAGCUUUAUUUGCAGUGAGGUGAAUCAGAGUCUCCAGAUAUUUGAUGGCAGAAGUGAUGGUAUUUAAAGGGUAGUUGAAUCUUCCAAAUACAGAAUUUCAAGAGGCUCAAAUAAAAAUUCUGUUGACUCAAAAUACAGCUUUUACAGGACAGGCUAACUGGACCUGGAAAAAACACUCCCACUUAAGAAGUCUCCGGUCUUUUCCACACCCAUAGAAACUCUGCUGUCAGUGGAUGUGACCGUAGCCACACAAAAGGACAAUUUGGAUAAUUGUUUACUCCUUUGGAGAAUGAAGUGCCAUCUCUGACAACUCAUACAAAACUGUUUUGUUCUAGCUUUGACUAUUAGCUCAGAAUCUCACAAAGGAGGAGACCGUGAACAACACAAGCAGAACAAACUCUGCAUCCAAAUUUCCAAAUCCAGGUUUGUAGAUAUUUUUUUUUUGGUGGAAGAUUUUUCUAAAACUUGCUACGUAUUGCAAAGUCACGGGGUAUUUCAGGAAGAAACAUCAGAAGCGCAGUGAUCUCGUGAUUAAAAUACGUCAUUGGAAGUUUGUGGAUUUCAGUCAAAUUCCUAGCUAUCAUACCCAUCUUGUACAUUUGGGGCAAGUUAUUAAAAAUUUCCACGUUAUCUCACUUUCUGAGAAGAGAACUGAUCUAGUUUUGUCUGUCUUCUAGUUAGUUUGCACAUUCCUUCUUUUCUCUUGUACAUUUUCAGCUCCUAGCACAGCAAGCCCCAUUCUUUUUCAUUUUCUGAACCACUGGCCAGUCAGAUAGGAGGUAGGGAAGAAGAGGGAUCAACCAUUCACUUCUCCAACACAGGAAAAAGGGAUUAGCAGAUAAAACCAGUGCGUGUUAGUUUAGGACAAGCAAAACACAGUUUUCCACAGCAAAGCCACAGUUCACACGUGGAACUCCGCCACAAACGCUAGAAGUUUACAUGGUCAAAAACAAACCAGAAAAAAACAAAACCACAAACUACUGAAAGAAGCAGCCAUGUAGGGCAGUUACGGCCAGAAGGACCACUUCAGGCUCCGAAAGCCUCCAAGCUACAAGGCACAGCAAGUCAGCAGCUAGUCACGAGAUACUGUGAUCGUCCACACUGUUGCAUCUGCUUGCCUUGUUCGUUUUCUUUUCUUUCUGCAGAAGCUCCUGCACUGCACCCGGAUCAAACAGCCCUCUGACCCAGGCCAGCUCUGCCAUUUGUGUGGCCGUGGCAUUCCCUUUUCAACCACUGCACUGAAACAACAAAGGCACUCGAGCCUCCUCUUUCCAUGGGGCUCUGCUAACCACACCAUCGGCAUAGUAUGGAACAAACAAAUGAUGCCACUUCUUGAAUGACAGAGGAAUGCCAUUUGCGAUAGCCUAUCAGAGCAACCUCUGAGAGGCCUUUUAACAGGAUGGCUUUGUGAUUUUUCAGUUACGCGCGCACACAGCCCCUCAGCAUUGUUGAGUCUGUUUAUCUGCUCUUAACCAUAUACUGAAUCCUGAACAAGAGGGAAUAACCACUACAAGCUACACUGAAAUUAAUCGAAAAUUACAAGCACUCAACAUCUUGCACGCCCUGUGGCAGUUAAAAA